Molecule: long non-coding RNA, 5015 nt
Filed under: Equus asinus (donkey)
Lineage: Eukaryota; Metazoa; Chordata; Mammalia; Perissodactyla; Equidae
Description: lncRNA (ENSEASG00005029797.1)
Source: RNAcentral
UUCGAAUGCUGGAUCGGCUGGCUGGGGAGCCCAGGCCAGUCCCAGGUGUGUCCUUGCACUGUCCCCACAACCCCGCCCUGUCCUGGGUCACUUUCUCCCUACUUCCAGCUGCCUGUUUCACUACAGAAAAGUUCAGGCCUCGAGACACAAAUAUGUUAGAAAUGGUUGCCCAUCGUGGGUGCUCUCAAAUUUCCUUUUCAUAGAUUUUAUAGAUCUCUGAAAUUUCCCACAAUAAACCUACGUUGCCUUUAAAAGUCAGAGAAAGCAAUACAAAUAUUUUAAAUAGACUAGAGAUUAAAUCAUUUCCUCCCCUACAAAGACUCAUGCUCUGGGGCACAGCCUUCCGGACCUGGAAGAUAAGCCCGGGGGCGCAGGGGCACGCAGUCCAGCUGCAUCUAAGUUUUGCAAAUACAAAAAGUAACCCAGGGAGAAUUCGGGAGAACAGGUCGGGAGAAUUAAGAUACGACACACAUGAAGUAAAACGCACCCUUGUGGAGCACAGCUCCGUGCGCUCUGACGAGGAGUCACCAUGGGACGCCCCCACGGUCAUGAGAACCUUCCAUCGCCCAGCGCUGCCCUCCCACUGCUCCGUAGUCAGCUCCUCCUUCCCCUUCCCGCCACGCUAAACCACUACCGGCCUGCUUUCUGUCACCUUGCGAGUUCUAGAAGUUUAUAUAAAUGGAAUCGCACAGCGCUCUUCUCCUGUGUCUGGCUCCUCCUACUUGAUAGAACGUUUCUGAGACUCACCCACAUCGUGCCUGCCAGUCCUUGAUCCUUUUAGCGCUGAGCAUCUUCCAUCGUACGGAAAUACCACAAUUUCCAUAACCCAUUCAGCAGCCAAUAGACAGGGCUGUUUCCAACUUCAUUCUAUUAUGAAUAAAGCCAGUGUGAGCACCAGCGUAAAGGUUUUACGUUGACACGUCAUUUUAAUUUAUCUUGGCAUCUUCACCACAGUGCAGCCAGCACCACAGCGGACUGAAGAGACACCACAAGACACCACCAGAGAGAAGCCCCACGCCCUUUAGCCAUCGCCUCCCUCACCCCGCCGCCCCGCCGGAGCCCCCAGCUCCCCCUGAUCUACCCUCGGUCUCCGCAGAGGUCCCCACGGACGACAGGCUUCCUAUCCCAGUGGACGUCGAGGGGAGCCGAGCCCCGCUGGACGUCUCCCCCAGGGACGCCUAACUAGUGCCAUCAACCCAACCUCAGAGUCACUCUAAGAGCUGCUUAAAUAUGGGCACUUUGUCAACAAAUGUUGGAGAGGGCGUGGAGAAAAGGGAACCCUCAGACACUGCUGGUGGGAAUGCAAACUGGUGCAGCCACUAUGGAAAACAGUAUGGACAUUCCUCAAAAAAUUAAAAACCGAAAUACCAUACGACGCAGCUAUCCCACUACUGGGUAUUUAUCCAAAGAGCUUGAAAUCAGUAAUACAAAGAGACUCAUGCAUCCCCAUGUUCACUGCAGCAUUAUUCACAACAGCCAAGACGUGGAAGCAACCCAAGUGCCCAUCCACUGAGGAGAUGUGGUAUAUACAUACAAUGGAAUACCACUUAGCCAUAAAAAGAGACAAAAUCGUCUCAUUUGCAACAACAUGGAUGGACCUUGAGGGUGUUAUGUUAAGCGAAAUAAGCUAGACAGAGAAAGAGAAACACCGUAUGAUUUCACUCAUCUGUGGAAGAUAAACACACAUGUGGACAAAGAGAACAGAUUAGUGGUUACCAGAGGGGAAGGGGGUUGGGGGGUGGGCACAGGGGUAAAGGGGCACAUUUAUAUGGUGACUGACAAAUAAUAAAGUACAACUGAAAUUUCACAAUGUUAUAAACUAUUAUGGCCUCAAUUUAUAAAAAAGAAAGAAACGGGUGGUUUGAGCUUACUCCAGCCCGGCCCCCGAGGACGGACUGAUCAUCACUGAAGAACUUCGCAGCAAGACCACAGACAGCUGCCACUGGAGCUAAAACAGGACCAACUAUGCCCAAGGGGUUACCUGCCCAGAGAAAGGUCAGUGUUAGUCAAGCGGAGCGGCCGCCUGGGGAGCGGGGAGUCUGAAGCUGGCGCGAGGCUCCGACGGGUCCGGCAGAGAACUCCUGCCUGCUGGGCACGGGACCGCUCAGCAUCAGGGCGUUCGGGCCCAGCACGAGGGGAUUUCCCAAGUAAAGGACUCUCGCCCCUUAGAUGUCAGUUCUUCUUCACUUUUUCUUCUUUACUUUUACUGCUGUUAAAGAAAACCUAUUACCCAACUUAAUAAACCUGUCUUGUUAUAGAUACAAGUCACAAUUUUGUGGGUAGUGACCAUGAUUCUGAACAUCAAGGGCACUGUGGUUAAGUCACGGACCUGAGUUAGGGCGCCUGUGAGGUCCAACAUGGUGGCUAAGACCCUCCCUUGUAAGGGGAGGAGGCUUCCCAGAUAAUCUCCGAAACCCUCCCAGGAUUAAGACUCCCCUGAAAAAAACAGCCCGCCCCAUACUUCAACUGGGCAGGCGUGGAAACACUCCUGGCUGCCCUCCUUUUCCAGACUUCUCCUCCUGCAGCAGAGUCUGGGAUGGGAGGGGCCAGGCGACACACCCUGGGCUCAGAGCCCCGUUCAUUCUUAAAAAUCCAGUAAGAGGAGCAAACAGCCAAAGUAAGCAGAAGAAAGGACGCAAAAAACAGGAGAGGAAGCCCUGGAAGUGUGAGACCCGAUCCAGCAGGUGCACCACCGACUCGCAGAGGAGACACUUCUGGUCUCAGCUCCCACAUGUAAAGGGCUAGGAGGCUGUCACCCCAUCCUCAGAACAAGAAAACUCCACAAACAGAAACAACGACUUUUCUCAGACCCAUCAGAGAACCGAGGUCGCAGGGCAAACUGCCACCCCAAAACCUGGAAAUCAAGGAAUUUAGAAAGUUGCGGUCCAGUCUGCUCACCAGGAGCAGAAGCCGCUGAGCCGAAACCGGCAGGCACACUGAUGGGAACCGUGAGGAAGUGCUGCAGGCUGAGUGUGCAAUCAUGAGAGAGAAACUCCUGGGGCCACGGUCUGGGGGGCCCACACUCUCAAGGGCUUUCCCUCCAGGAACCCCACCAGGUGCUCUGAGAAGACCCCCUAGCGUCCCUGGCAGACGGAGGGGGAAAGAAAUGCUGGUGAAACACACCAGGGCCUUCUCCGUCCUUGCCUUCCCUUCCAAGUGACCCGGCGAGGGCCCUGCCGUCCCCAUGCUCUGGGUGCUGCCGGCCGCCUCCUCCACCUGCCACUCCACAGGCCCCAUCCAGCGGGUUUCCCAUGGGUGGCAGCCAGGGCCAGGGGCUCCAUCACACAGGCCCUGCCCCCUCGGCCAGCCCUUGGGGCUGCCGUGUUCUUCAUCAGGAUCCCAGAAGGUCUGAUCGUCCCCUGUGUGGGGGUCAGCAGCUGCCAUUCCCUACACUCAUGAGUUCCCAGGGAGUUGCAGAAUGGUGAUAUUCUGCUCCUGACAUUCCGUUUUAUUAGUCGGAACACUUUAAUAAAAAAGACUCUCUCGUGUGCGAUUCGGCUCCCCUGUGGCACAGCGCCCAUGGAAAAGGCAGGGAAGAUGCUGAAUCCUUCCUCUUCACUGGCCUGUCUUCCAGGUAAGGAACUGACUCCUGUUCUCCUCCACAGGCGGCCAGCUGGGGUUCCCGACAGCGAACUCAUAGAUUAAAACCUACUUAUGAGUUUCGAUCCAUCGCGAUAAGUGUCUUUAUCCCAGCGCAGGUUCUGCCACCUCUGCCAUACGUGGAGCUCCGCAAGUUCGACUCACUAACUCCUUUCAGGAGUGGCCGGCAGGACAGCAUCCGCAGCCCGUCUCUCCAGGGAAGGAGGAUGGUGCUGUGAGCUCCCUCGAGGCAGAGGACCAAGACGAAGGCUGCGGGUUGGAGCAGCGAGGCGGGCUCCUGUGCGGGAGAGCCGAUGCAGAACCAGAGCGGCGUGGCACGCGGUAAACUUGCUCCCCGGGUCGAGGCCUCAGGACGACGUUAUUCCAUCCAUUCGAGACCUUUGAUGAAGCCCCGACACCAGCAGUAAGAAAACUAGAGGUACUGGCAGGGUCGAAGAGUGUAACACAUUUACUAAAUUUGUACCAUUUUUACCAAGACACGACAUGACUCCUGGGUCUGGGGAAGGCCAUUCUCUCUCUGCCGUCGGCCUGUCCUCAGAGCCCAGGGUCUCUCGACCCCCUAGGGACGGGCCGCCCGAGAAGCAGCUCUGUCCUCUCAUCUGCACCUCCAGCCGAGGGACGGAGUCUUUGCUUGGACGUUUCUCGAGAAGUGACCGCCUCCUCCACCUAGUUUCUCAGCUCUGGGUUCUUCGAGAGAAUGUUCACUAAGCACCUCCCCUUUUUCAGUCACAGACUUUCCCCUCUUGGUUCCCGCUCUUCCACAGCUCUAAAGGCUCGGGACGGGAGUCUUCAGACGACACUUGGAGUGACUUCCUCUGCAGCCCGCAUCUCAAGAUGGGCUGUGGGUGUCCUGGGAAGACCAAGCAGACUCACAACAGAGAGGCCUCUGCUUUCUCUAGGUGUUAAGUGCGAAGCGCAGCUUUGUUCUUUCCCAGCAGUUCAGCAAAGAUACCAGGGAAGAUUCACAGAGCAGGACCCCCUGUAAGACUCACUCUCUCUCGGCUUCGCCUCUACAGGCUGAGGCUCUGGGGGGCAGCGCUGCUUCUCCAGGAGGCCCAGGGUACCAGGCGGCUGCGAGAGCAGGGCCCGCGCCCGGAGGAGCUCCUCAUCUGCCACAGACGCACGGGCAGCAGCCCUGCGGCCCUGAAGACCUCAGACUGUGCCAGCAUGCUCUGCUCCAGACUCGCACACAGGAGCAGCUUCUCAGCCAGAGUCUGAAUGGCGUUCCCGUCCCUUUGUAUCCUCGACAACAGAGACUGCAGAUAAUAACAGCGGCUUGGGAUCCAACAGGGCCUGCCGGCUGCUGCCUCCUCCCCCUCUGCCCAGACCACCUGCUUCCCAGCCAGCCUUCCGCGGUAGAACUCAUCUCCUGGGAUGUCUUCCCCUGAUGCGCAGCCCGACUGCACACACGGAAG